RNAcentral lists this ribosomal RNA (537 nucleotides) under Zeus faber (John dory). Its description in RNAcentral is "partial 16S ribosomal RNA". It matches the Rfam family "Bacterial large subunit ribosomal RNA", at positions 1844 to 2582 of the family's 2925-position model. Lineage: Eukaryota; Metazoa; Chordata; Actinopteri; Zeiformes; Zeidae. The record is from RNAcentral.
UAUAAGAGGUCCGCCUGCCCUGUGACUUAAAGUUUAACGGCCGCGGUAUUUUGACCGUGCAAAGGUAGCGCAAUCACUUGUCUUUUAAAUGAAGACCUGUAUGAAUGGCAUCACGAGGGCUUAGCUGUCUCCUUUUUCAAGUCAAUGAAAUUGAUCUCCCCGUGCAGAAGCGGGGAUAAUAAUAUAAGACGAGAAGACCCUAUGGAGCUUUAGACCUAAUGCAGUCCACGAAUAAUACUUUUGAUGAAGAAAGAAAAGCUCAAUGGCUCCUGCACGCCUGUCUUUGGUUGGGGCGACCGCGGGGAAAAAUAAAACCCCCAUGAGGAUUGAGAGUUCUACUCCUAAAACCAAGAGCCACAGCUCUAAGUAACAGAAAUUCUGACCUAAAUGAUCCGGGAAACCGAUCAACGAACCGAGUUACCCUAGGGAUAACAGCGCAAUCCCCUUCCAGAGCCCAUAUCGACAAGGGGGUUUACGACCUCGAUGUUGGAUCAGGACAUCCUAAUGGUGCAGCCGCUAUUAAGGGUUCGUUUGUUC